GACCUGCCGGACCCACUGCUAUCGGGAUGGGACUAAGACAUGCUAGUCGUGCGUCUCCUAGCCAUGUUGGAGACGCGGCGCACAGCUCAGUAACACGUGGCUAACCUGCCCUUGGGACGGAAACAUCCCCGGGAAACUGGGGCUAAUUUUCGAUAGGUGAAGAACCCUGGAAUGAGUCUUCGCCCAAAAGGCGCUUAGAGCAUGCUUCUAGGUGUUGCCCAAGGAUGGGGCCGCGGCCGAUCAGGUUGUUGGUGAGGUAAUGGCUCACCAAGCCUUUAACCGGUACGGGCCGUGGGAGCGGUAGCCCGGAGAUGGGCACUGAGACAAGGGCCCAGGUCCUACGGGGCGCAGCAGUCGCGAAAACUUCGCAAUAGGCGAAAGCUUGACGGGGCCAUCCCGAGUGCCAUCUGCUGAGGAUGGCUUUUACCCAGUGUAGAUAGCUGGGGGAAUAAGGAGAGGGCAAGUCUGGUGUCAGCCGCCGCGGUAAUACCAGCUCUCCGAGUUGUGGGGACGUUUAUUGGGCCUAAAGCAUCCGUAGCCGGCUGGACAAGUCCUCUGUUUUAACCAGCGAUUAUCGGUGGCUGCGGGGAUCUGUCCGGUAGGGGCGGGAGAG
RNAcentral lists this ribosomal RNA (613 nucleotides) under uncultured archaeon. RNAcentral's name for it is "bacterial SSU rRNA". It matches the Rfam family "Archaeal small subunit ribosomal RNA", at positions 11 to 605 of the family's 1478-position model. The record is from RNAcentral.